AUUGAACGCUGGCGGCAGGCCUAACACAUGCAAGUCGAGCGAGUGGCGGACGGGUGAGUAAUGUAUGGGGAACUGCCUGAUGGAGGGGGAUAACUACUGGAAACGGUAGCUAAUACCGCAUACCAUCGGAUGAGCCCAUAUGGGAUUAGCUAGUAGGUGGGGUAACGGCUCACCUAGGCGACGAUCCCUAGCUGGUCUGAGAGGAUGACCAGCCACACUGGAACGGAGACACGGCCCAGACUCCUACGGGAGGCAGCAGUGGGGAAUAUUGCACAAUGGGCUCAAGCCUGAUGCAGCCAUGCCGCGUGUAUGAAGAAGGCCGUCGGGUUGUAAAGUACUUUCAGCCGGGAGGCGUUACCCACAGAAGAAGCACCGGCUAACUCCGUGCCAGCAGCCGCGGUAAUUC
Molecule: ribosomal RNA, 406 nt
Filed under: uncultured bacterium
Lineage: Bacteria
Description: partial 16S ribosomal RNA
Rfam family: Bacterial small subunit ribosomal RNA
Source: RNAcentral